RNAcentral lists this ribosomal RNA (2902 nucleotides) under Klebsiella oxytoca. RNAcentral describes it as "bacterial LSU rRNA". It matches the Rfam family "Bacterial large subunit ribosomal RNA". The record is from RNAcentral. Lineage: Bacteria; Pseudomonadati; Pseudomonadota; Gammaproteobacteria; Enterobacterales; Enterobacteriaceae.
UAAGCGACUAAGCGUACACGGUGGAUGCCCUGGCAGUCAGAGGCGAUGAAGGACGUGCUAAUCUGCGAAAAGCGUCGGUAAGGUGAUAUGAACCGUUAUAACCGGCGAUGUCCGAAUGGGGAAACCCAGUGCAAUUCGUUGCACUAUCGUUUGAUGAAUACAUAGUCAAACGAGGCGAACCGGGGGAACUGAAACAUCUAAGUACCCCGAGGAAAAGAAAUCAACCGAGAUUCCCCCAGUAGCGGCGAGCGAACGGGGAGCAGCCCGGAGUCUGAAUCAGCUUGUGUGUUAGUGGAAGCGUCUGGAAAGUCGCAGGGUACAGGGUGAUACUCCCGUACACUAAAACACACAGGUUGUGAACUCGAAGAGUAGGGCGGGACACGUGGUAUCCUGUCUGAAUAUGGGGGGACCAUCCUCCAAGGCUAAAUACUCCUGACUGACCGAUAGUGAACCAGUACCGUGAGGGAAAGGCGAAAAGAACCCCGGCGAGGGGAGUGAAAAAGAACCUGAAACCGUGUACGUACAAGCAGUAGGAGCCCACUAGUUGGGUGACUGCGUACCUUUUGUAUAAUGGGUCAGCGACUUAUAUUCUGUAGCAAGGUUAACCGUAUAGGGGAGCCGCAGGGAAACCGAGUCUUAACUGGGCGUUAAGUUGCAGGGUAUAGACCCGAAACCCGGUGAUCUAGCCAUGGGCAGGUUGAAGGUUGGGUAACACUAACUGGAGGACCGAACCGACUAAUGUUGAAAAAUUAGCGGAUGACUUGUGGCUGGGGGUGAAAGGCCAAUCAAACCGGGAGAUAGCUGGUUCUCCCCGAAAGCUAUUUAGGUAGCGCCUCGUGAACUCAUCUUCGGGGGUAGAGCACUGUUUCGGCUAGGGGGUCAUCCCGACUUACCAACCCGAUGCAAACUACGAAUACCGAAGAAUGUUAUCACGGGAGACACACGGCGGGUGCUAACGUCCGUCGUGAAGAGGGAAACAACCCAGACCGCCAGCUAAGGUCCCAAAGUCAUGGUUAAGUGGGAAACGAUGUGGGAAGGCCCAGACAGCCAGGAUGUUGGCUUAGAAGCAGCCAUCAUUUAAAGAAAGCGUAAUAGCUCACUGGUCGAGUCGGCCUGCGCGGAAGAUGUAACGGGGCUAAACCAUGCACCGAAGCUGCGGCAGCGACGCUUAUGCGUUGUUGGGUAGGGGAGCGUUCUGUAAGCCGUUGAAGGUGGCCUGUGAGGGUUGCUGGAGGUAUCAGAAGUGCGAAUGCUGACAUAAGUAACGAUAAUGCGGGUGAAAAACCCGCACGCCGGAAGACCAAGGGUUCCUGUCCAACGUUAAUCGGGGCAGGGUGAGUCGACCCCUAAGGCGAGGCCGAAAGGCGUAGUCGAUGGGAAACAGGUUAAUAUUCCUGUACUUGGUGUUACUGCGAAGGGGGACGGAGAAGGCUAUGUUGGCCGGGCGACGGUUGUCCCGGUUUAAGCAUGUAGGCGGAUGUUCCAGGUAAAUCCGGAACGUUACUAACGCUGAGGUGUGAUGACGAGGCACUACGGUGCUGAAGUGACAAAUGCCCUGCUUCCAGGAAAAGCCUCUAAGCAUCAGGUAACAUCAAAUCGUACCCCAAACCGACACAGGUGGUCAGGUAGAGAAUACCAAGGCGCUUGAGAGAACUCGGGUGAAGGAACUAGGCAAAAUGGUGCCGUAACUUCGGGAGAAGGCACGCUGAUGGUAGGUGAAGUGACUUGCUCAUGGAGCUGAAAUCAGUCGAAGAUACCAGCUGGCUGCAACUGUUUAUUAAAAACACAGCACUGUGCAAACACGAAAGUGGACGUAUACGGUGUGACGCCUGCCCGGUGCCGGAAGGUUAAUUGAUGGGGUUAUCCUCGCGGAGAAGCUCUUGAUCGAAGCCCCGGUAAACGGCGGCCGUAACUAUAACGGUCCUAAGGUAGCGAAAUUCCUUGUCGGGUAAGUUCCGACCUGCACGAAUGGCGUAAUGAUGGCCAGGCUGUCUCCACCCGAGACUCAGUGAAAUUGAACUCGCUGUGAAGAUGCAGUGUACCCGCGGCAAGACGGAAAGACCCCGUGAACCUUUACUAUAGCUUGACACUGAACACUGGUCCUUGAUGUGUAGGAUAGGUGGGAGGCUUUGAAGUGUGGACGCCAGUCUGCAUGGAGCCGUCCUUGAAAUACCACCCUUUAAUGGCUGGUGUUCUAACGUGGGCCCCUAAUCGGGGUUGCGGACAGUGUCUGGUGGGUAGUUUGACUGGGGCGGUCUCCUCCUAAAGAGUAACGGAGGAGCACGAAGGUCAGCUAAUCCUGGUCGGACAUCAGGAGGUUAGUGCAAUGGCAUAAGCUGGCUUGACUGCGAGCGUGACGGCGCGAGCAGGUGCGAAAGCAGGUCAUAGUGAUCCGGUGGUUCUGAAUGGAAGGGCCAUCGCUCAACGGAUAAAAGGUACUCCGGGGAUAACAGGCUGAUACCGCCCAAGAGUUCAUAUCGACGGCGGUGUUUGGCACCUCGAUGUCGGCUCAUCACAUCCUGGGGCUGAAGUAGGUCCCAAGGGUAUGGCUGUUCGCCAUUUAAAGUGGUACGCGAGCUGGGUUUAGAACGUCGUGAGACAGUUCGGUCCCUAUCUGCCGUGGGCGCUGGAGAAUUGAGGGGGGCUGCUCCUAGUACGAGAGGACCGGAGUGGACGCAUCACUGGUGUUCGGGUUGUCAUGCCAAUGGCAUUGCCCGGUAGCUAAAUGCGGAAGAGAUAAGUGCUGAAAGCAUCUAAGCACGAAACUUGCCCCGAGAUGAGUUCUCCCUGACUCCUUGAGAGUCCUGAAGGAACGUUGAAGACGACGACGUUGAUAGGCCGGGUGUGUAAGCGCAGCGAUGCGUUGAGCUAACCGGUACUAAUGAACCGUGAGGCUUAACCU